Long non-coding RNA from Talpa occidentalis (Iberian mole), 1359 nucleotides. RefSeq lists it as uncharacterized. The transcript is spliced from 3 exons. The record is from RefSeq and is a predicted model, not a curated record. NCBI's taxonomy places the organism in Eukaryota, Metazoa, Chordata, Mammalia, Eulipotyphla, Talpidae.
CGGGCGCGCGUGACGGGAGCUCUGGCAUCCGAAGACUCAUCGUCAGGUUGAGUCUCUUUUACCAAGGCUGAUUUUCCUUGUCCCUGAGCCCAAAAUCGAACCCCUCCCCAUCCCUACAGUUUGACGCGGUCAGCAGCGGAUCGAGAACCACAUGCUCGCCGGUAGUGUGCGCAAAAAGAGCGCAUUUGUGCCCACGGGCGUGCGUGGCUCAGCUAGUCUGGAGUGUGUGCACUGGAGGCUCUGAAGGGGCCACUAUAGCCGAGGGAGUGUGCACCGUGUGUGUGAAGUUGGUGCUGACUCUGCCAGAACUUCUGGUCCCUCCUCCUCCCUCCCUGAUUGCAUCAUUAGUGCUAAUUGAGGGGCUUUCACACGCCAGUGCAUUAGCUGUUUGGAGUGAGCUCCCCCCUCCUGAGAGAGAUAAGCCGCUGCACCUCCCCCUCUCAGCCCUUCACUUCCCCACCGCCCUGGAACUGUCCACCUAUAUCCUCUCUCCUUACUGGGCACCUUCCUGCUCCCUCUGAUCCUGAAUGGCUCAACCUCUCUUCUCCCCGUAGUGUCUGAGAUUGGCUGGAGAGGAGCCAGGGGGGAGGAUGAUGAUGACCGAGAGCCCCCUCUUUUAGGUUGAUCAGGAAGGGGUGAUUUUCCCGUCGAAGAGGUCUGGGAUUCCCGCAGAAUGCAGAAUGACUGCUGACAGAGGGGCAGGAAUCUGUGGCCCGGCCUGUUGACCAUGGAAGGUCUGAGGAGAGGCUUGAGUCCUUGAUCUCCAGCCUGUGGAGAUCACACUGAGACCUGCUAAGGCACUGUCCAUGAUGGCUGGGCAUAGACCUGAAAGGCUAGAACAUGGAUCAGGAGGAUGAACACAGUGUGGUGGCUGCCCAAAUGGAGGAGUUCCCUGAGCAGUUCAAAAUGGGCACAAGCAGAAGUUUUAACAGGAAGCGUAGUCCUGAAAGGGGAAACCUGGCUGAUGAGAGAAGACAGCUCCCUCCCAGCCACUGUUUGUCCCCCGGGCUCACAGCUGAGUGAUGGUAGCAAAAGAAGGACUGAGAUGCCUCCUGCCAAGGGAGGAAGUGGCAGCAUCUCCUGACCCUCCAGAGACAGCUCUUCCUUUGGCCAUCUGUUGGGAGAGGCUCUUCCCUGAACCUGUGUGUGAUCGCAGGUAAGAAAAGGCUGGGGUGCAGUAAGAAGCAGAAGCCACGCUCUCUGAAAUUGCCUGGGUGCUCUAGAAUUGACCCUCAGAGUUGUUUCCAUUGGAGGCAAUUUGGAAAAGGUAUUUGAGAGAGAAAGUCCCGAUUCAGAAAACCUUUCUGCCAAGUCCUUUGUUUUCCUAAUGUUGCCGCCGUGUCUGGAGCUGAAUUUUAA